GACGAACGCUGGCGGCGUGCUUAACACAUGCAAGUCGAACGGAAAGGCCCUGCUUUUGUGGGGUGCUCGAGUGGCGAACGGGUGAGUAACACGUUAGUAACCUGCCCUUGUCUUUGGGAUAACUUCAGGUAACUGGGGCUAAUACCGGAUAGGAGCUCCUGCUGCAUGGUGGGGGUUGGAAAGUUUCGGCGGUUGGGGAUGGACUCGCGGCUUAUCAGCUUGUUGGUGGGGUAGUGGCUUACCAAGGCUUUGACGGGUAGCCGGCAUGAGAGGGUGACCGGCCACAUUGGGACUAAGAUACGGCCCAGACUCCUACGGGAGGCAGCAGUGGGGAAUAUUGCACAAUGGGCGGAAGCCUGAUGCAGCAACGCCGCGUGCGGGAUGACGGCCUUCGGGUUGUAAACCGCUUUAGCCUGUGACGAAGCGUGAGUGACGGUAAUGGGUAAAGAAGCACCGGCUAACUACGUG
This 468-nucleotide ribosomal RNA is filed under the name uncultured bacterium. RNAcentral describes it as "partial 16S ribosomal RNA". It matches the Rfam family "Bacterial small subunit ribosomal RNA", at positions 28 to 507 of the family's 1533-position model. The record is from RNAcentral.